RNAcentral lists this transfer RNA (74 nucleotides) under bacterium. RNAcentral describes it as "tRNA-Trp". It matches the Rfam family "tRNA". Rfam says of the family: Transfer RNA (tRNA) molecules are approximately 80 nucleotides in length. Their secondary structure includes four short double-helical elements and three loops (D, anti-codon, and T loops). The record is from RNAcentral. RNAcentral also lists the same sequence under 1 other name.
ACCGGCGUAGCUUAGUGGUAGAGUAGCGGUCUCCAAAACCGCUGGUGGAGGUUCGAUUCCUCCCGCCGGUGCCA